AUUGCUAUUGGGGUUCGAUUUAGCCAUGCUAGUUGCACGAAUUUAGAUUCGUGGCGAAAAGCUCCGUAACACGUGGUCAAACUACCCUAUGGAUCGAAAUAACCUCGGGAAACUGAGGAUAAUGUCGAGUAGGGGUCUUCUGCUGGAAUGCUUAGACCUUGAAAUGCUCCGGCGCCAUAGGAUGUGACUGCGGCCGAUUAGGUAGACGGUGGGGUAACGGCCCACCGUGCCGAUAAUCGGUACGAGUUGUGAGAGCAAGAGCUCGGAGACGGAAUCUGAGACAAGAUUCCGGGCCCUACGGGGCGCAGCAGGCGCGAAAACUUUACACUGCACGACAGUGCGAUAAGGGAACCCCAAGUGCGAGGGCAUACAGUCCUCGCUUUUGUGUACCGUAAGGUGGUACACGAAUAAGGGCUGGGCAAGACCGGUGCCAGCCGCCGCGGUAAUACCGGCAGCUCAAGUGAUGACCGAUUUUAUUGGGCCUAAAGCGUCCGUAGCUGGCCACACAGGUCCGUUGGGAAAUCUGCUCGCUUAACGAGCAGGCGUCCAACGGAAACCUUGUGGCUUGGGACCGGGAGGCCUGGAGGGUACGUCCGGGGUAGGAGUGAAAUCCUGUAAUCCUAGACGGACCACCGAUGGCGAAAGCACUCCAGGAGAACGGAUCCGACAGUGAGGGACGAAAGCUAGGGUCUCGAACCGGAUUAGAUACCCGGGUAGUCCUAGCCGUAAACGAUGCUCGCUAGGUGUGACACUGGCUACGAGCCAGUGUUGUGCCGUAGGGAAGCCGUGAAGCGAGCCGCCUGGGAAGUACGUCCGCAAGGAUGAAACUUAAAGGAAUUGGCGGGGGAGCACUACAACCGGAGGAG
RNAcentral lists this ribosomal RNA (866 nucleotides) under uncultured archaeon. RNAcentral describes it as "bacterial SSU rRNA". It matches the Rfam family "Archaeal small subunit ribosomal RNA", at positions 26 to 893 of the family's 1478-position model. The record is from RNAcentral.